Molecule: small nuclear RNA, 180 nt
Organism: Monodelphis domestica (gray short-tailed opossum)
Lineage: Eukaryota; Metazoa; Chordata; Mammalia; Didelphimorphia; Didelphidae
Rfam family: U4 spliceosomal RNA
About the family: U4 small nuclear RNA (U4 snRNA) is a component of the major U2-dependent spliceosome. The structure of U4 snRNA from yeast and human has been reported.
Source: Rfam
AGCUUUGCACAGUGGCAGUGUCAUAGCCAAUGAGGUUUAACCAAGGUGUGAUUAUUGCUAAUUGAAAUCAAAUUCAGAAGGCCAAUCUAUUGAACACUGGUCUGGAAGUCAAAAGACAAGAUUUUUUUGCAUCUGCUCUUCCAUUGUGUGACUUUGGGCAAUUUACUUCCUUUUUGAAGG